Molecule: long non-coding RNA, 769 nt
Organism: Rhagoletis pomonella (apple maggot)
Lineage: Eukaryota; Metazoa; Arthropoda; Insecta; Diptera; Tephritidae
Exons: 3
Source: RefSeq, a predicted model, not a curated record
GUGGUGAUAAAGGUCGUGUCUGAUCUUGUUUCAUUUUUUGAAUGACUCGUGCACUAGCACGCGUCCCUGGACAAUUAUGCAUUAUUACAGAACCCAGUAGCUCAGUCACCUUUGAAUCCGUCUGCAAAUCAAUCAUUAAAUGCGAAUUCGAUUUGGCACAGUGGAAUCGCAUAGCUUUAGCGCUGCUUAUUGUAGCUGGUGCUACUCGUUCAUUGAUUCUAAUUUGCGAUUCACUGUGCUCCAGUGGCUCCACCGUCUCACCAAUGUUUUCUUGUGCGGGCGGUACAGUUGUCGUCGUAAUCGGAAGCGCCGUCUGAUUUCCAACGCCGCCCAGCGCAUUUGCGCUCAUUUUUGAUGAAACCUAUAAUAAGCAGAAUAAGAAAUUCAGCAAAUUUUCCCGCACCUAAGGAACUUAAAGCAUAGUUGAUCGAUUUAUGGAAAAAUUGUAGAAGAAGUUCAUAGGAAUUUUUCACGCCCGACAAAGAAAAUUUAAUUGCGCCCUUACUACUUCGUCACCAGGCUAAAAUUCAAAGUAGUUCAACUCCGCUUAAAGGAAUUUUUAACAUCGAUUCACUGCAAAAUCGCGCGAUGAAAUUCCAGUAAAAUCUGUUGCGAAAACACGAAGUUGACAACUGACAAAAAAUGGCGCACGACUUUCGAUUCGUUGAUAGUCCCCAUAUUCAGUCUUUUUAUUUAUUUUCUGGCAAUAUUUUUGCAAAACUUUGUUCCAAAUAAUAUGCAGCAUAAAUUUACCUAUUCAACCGCCCAA